RNAcentral lists this unclassified non-coding RNA (253 nucleotides) under uncultured Mortierella. Its description in RNAcentral is "sequence contains ITS2". The record is from RNAcentral. Lineage: Eukaryota; Fungi; Mortierellomycota; Mortierellomycetes; Mortierellales; Mortierellaceae.
AACACCUCAAAGCUUUUGGAUUUUUUUUUGAAAGCUUUGGACUUGAGCAAUCCCAACACCAAUCUUUUUUUAAGAUCGGUGGCGGGUUGCUUGAAAUGCAGGUGCAGCUGGACAUUCUCCUGAGCUAAAAGCAUAUUCAUUUAGUCCCGUCAAACGGAUUAUUACUUUUGCUGCAGCUAACAUAAAGGGAGUUUGACCGUAUUGGCUGACUGAUGCAGGAUUUCACAAGGGUCGGCAACGAUUCUUGUUAAAC